Long non-coding RNA from Anguilla rostrata (American eel), 850 nucleotides. RefSeq lists it as uncharacterized. The transcript is spliced from 4 exons. The record is from RefSeq and is a predicted model, not a curated record. Lineage: Eukaryota; Metazoa; Chordata; Actinopteri; Anguilliformes; Anguillidae.
UAAACAACGAACACAGUGUUUUUAUUUACAGCUGUGGGCUAAAGUAAGCCUAAUAUUAUCGACAAAAUGAUUUAGGUUGAUGCAUUGUUCAUUGUUGCUGGCUCGGUAGCAGUAAAGUUUGUGCUAGCUGGCUGCGGUAACGAAGCUAUAAAACAGCAAGAAAGUUAGCGAUACUACACAGCCAAACGUUAUUUUGAAUUCGAUAUUAUUUCUACGUCACGUCACCCAUAUGGUUUGUCGACAAAGCAGUUGCAAGUAGCUAAAUUAUCUCUGCUCUGAUUUUAUCCGUGUAGUCCAGAAUUGACUAAUCUGGGAGCGUUGUUGUAAUUGGCGUUGACAUUUGGAGUGGCUGAGCCUGGGGCAGUCGGAAAUCGGAUUUUUUUUCUUAGAGCUUUUAUCUUUUCAUUUAUUGAUAUCUGUUGAGAUAUGUUUCAACCAACUAUCAAGAAAAAUGUUCUGAAAUAUACUCACAUAGGCUACCGCGCCUUUAAUUUUUUUCUAAAAUAUUCUAGUAGGCUGUGAUACAGAGUCAAAACAAAUCUGUAUCGCUACCCAAAUAUUUACAGACUACACCGUCGUUUGGAACGAUAUGUUUGGAAUGACAACUUGAAUUCCUGCUAUGAGUCAGACGUAAGGAACGCACUGGAAGCUCACAGUUCAACUAAGCAAGCUUCGCUGAACCAGCAGCAGGUGGGUGGACGAGUGAUUGCACAGCACGAGCGAUUUGGAACACAGUACAAAUGCUCAUUACCAGCGACAAAUUGAAUCCCGUCCAAAUGCACACCUGACAGCUGCACAAAACUGUCCCAAUGGCGACUUCAAGUACCUCGAAUGGGAAUCAAAAGUCGGA